Molecule: ribosomal RNA, 484 nt
Filed under: uncultured bacterium
Lineage: Bacteria
Description: partial 16S ribosomal RNA
Rfam family: Bacterial small subunit ribosomal RNA
Source: RNAcentral
AUUGAACGCUGGCGGCAGGCCUAACACAUGCCAGUCGAGCGGAUGAAGGGAGCUUGCUCCUGGAUUCAGCGGCGGACGGGUGAGUAAUGCCUAGGAAUCUGCCUGGUAGUGGGGGAUAACGUCCGGAAACGGGCGCUAAUACCGCAUACGUCCUGAGGGAGAAAGUGGGGGAUCUUCGGACCUCACGCUAUCAGAUGAGCCUAGUUCGGAUUAGCUAGUUGGUGGGGUAAAGGCCUACCAAGGCGACGAUCCGUAACUGGUCUGAGAGGAUGAUCAGUCACACUGGAACUGAGACACGGUCCAGACUCCUACGGGAGGCAGCAGUGGGGAAUAUUGGACAAUGGGCGAAAGCCUGAUCCAGCCAUGCCGCGUGUGUGAAGAAGGUCUUCGGAUUGUAAAGCACUUUAAGUUGGGAGGAAGGGCAGUAAGUUAAUACCUUGCUGUUUUGACGUUACCAACAGAAUAAGCACCGGCUAACUUCGUG